UGGUACUACACAAAAAGGGAAAAAAGGGAAAUUCUUUCAUCGUUUUAAACUAUUUCAGCUUUGGUGACACCUGCAGGAUUUGCAGUAUAUGAUCUAACACAUUUUGAAGACUCCUGGCAUUACUGCUUCAUAUACUUUAAAUAUUUUGAGGAGGAAAGGGGAGGGGGGGGAUAAAUAAAAAAAAAAAUACAUUUUAAAAAAAAGCACACUGGAAUUUGACUUCAGUUUAAUUCUUUGAGACAAACUGGACAAUGAGCAAACCUUUCCUAACACAAUCAGGGGUCCCUGACACCAAAUUAAAUCCUCCAUUUAAUCCUAGUAAAAAUAAAAAUACAGCUGGUAUUAAAGCAAUUAAAGCACACAUCCUUUAAAAUAAGAAAUAUGAUUACAAUACCAACAUUUAUUUUUAUUAUAAAAAUCAGUAAGAGUAAGAUAUAAUAAAGCCAGACACCCUACAUAAGUUGAAUUAUAAGCAGGCCUUUGAGACAUUAGCAGCAACAUAAUCCAAGGGGCUGGACACCCACCCACCCCACAGUGCAGCUACCAAUCUGUGGCAACAUUACAAUGAAAUGAAGCCUUUGUGGCAAAUAAAUACAUUUCGCUCUCCAAUGAACUAACUGAGAUUACCUCUAGUUGGAGCGCAGUGUGUGCAGCCAGCCAGAACAGCUUUUCAUUUUUUUCCCCUUCUUCCUUUUUAAAAUAUCAAUUUUAAGAGUCUGCACAGGAAGUUUUUUUUUUACCCAACUUCCCUCAAGCAUGUGAUCCUCUACCAUCGUUACAACACAUCCUAGCAGUGUGAAGACAUAUAGAAAAUUGAGAGGUAAUGAGCUUUUACCUUCCCUCUACUAACAUCUGCAGGCAGUUUUAGAGCACUAUGUAUCCAUGAAGCUUGAGUGGACCAGCAGUCUAGGAAUAAAACUGUGAUCCUGAGAAACAUAUCUACAUGGUGGUUUCUCUAACAAAAAGGCACACAAACAUGGAGACACCUUGCAGGUAGUUCUGUCUUCAAGAACACCAGAGACAUGGACAGAUGGUCAUCAGUGCAGAGGACAAACACAUGAUUUUAUAAUUAAAAAUAAAAUAAAAAAUACAGAUCCAGGCCAUUAAAAAGGUAUACUGCCAUUAAGAAACAUCUUUUCCCCAAAUCUCUAAAACAACACUUAAGGGAAAAAAAAAAAAAAAAAAAAAAAAAGAACGCAUAUGAAUUGAAACCUUUUUGGUUUAAUGUGAAAUAGCCUUGACGUUUUGAUGUUGAGUAGCAGACUAAUAUCAUAAUCAGUUUAUCAUUUCAAUCUGACUCACAGCGGUAACAGUGUUUAUAAACGCUGGUCUACCAAAUUAAAGGACGGUUGAACCUUCAAGUGUCCACCAAAACAAUUAAAAAUAAAAUUUAGCAUUAAAGAUACAGUAUGAUGUCAAAAGAUACCCUACUGGGAUCUAAGCUAUUAGUCGUCUAGGAGACAGUUAUUUACAUUCCAAUUUUAAGAGAUUUUACACCAAAUUUGCAGUAAUAUUGCUUUAAAUGUAAAAAUUUUAUAUAUACAAAAAACCAAACAAAAAAACAAAACAAGGGAAAACCUCUUGACUGGCAAAGUAUUUUAAGACAUCACAUGCAUCACAUGCAUGCUUACUUGCUUAUUUUCUUUAAAUGAAAGCUUUAAAAAAAAAAAAAAAAAAAAACCCCUCUCAGGAGGAGCGUUUUGGGGGGAGAAAAAAAAAAAACAACCCAAAAACAAAACCCACAACAAUAAAAAGGCCCUAUUUGGCUUCAAGUCAAGAUGUCCUGGCUUUGGCUUUGAACGGGCUACUAUUGGCCCAACAGUACCAUUCAGAUUUAAGGGUUUCUGGACUUUGGGUUGCUGUCUGCCUGGACAAAAGUAGAAUCUGGUAGUUUUUUUUCUUUUUUUUUCCUUUUUAUUCACUUCUCAUUCCACUGGGCUCUUCCUCUGACCAGAGCGACCCGAAUUUCGGCAGGUUAAACUACCUGAAACAAACCAGAAAGCAGUCAUCAACAUUUAUUACAAACACAAUUUUCUAACUCAACAGCAGCAUUAACACCCCCCCAAUAUUAAGAAGGUGACAAAACUAAGCAGACUGCUUGAUCCACACAAACUGAACAUUGCUUUAUUGACCAAGAAAAAACAAAAACGCAUUCAGGCAACAAUACCAGGUACAAUAACUCAGAGAAUGUGUUCUAAGACCACAUGGAAAACAACAGAUAAAAUAAGGACCAGAAUGCUACAUUUGAGGAAAAAGAUCAGAAAGUGUUUGCUCCAGAGUCCAGAAAAAGAUGGAUGAAUCUGAGCCUGCUGCAUAGAAAUCAUGUCGUCUCUCUUUAUGAGCCCUAGACAAUUGACCCAAUGCAAAAAUACACUGUCAACCAAGUCUAAUUUCUCUGAAAAUUGAAAUUGCACUUUGUCUCCAUAAAUUACAGAUAAUUCUCGUUUAAAAAAAAUAAAAAAAAUAAAGUUGGCAAAAUGUGUGCUUUAGGGAUGGAAAUACAUGGUAAAUGGCCUGCAUUUGUAUAGCGCUUUUCUAGUCCAUAGGACCCCAAAGUGCUUUACACUACAUUCAGUCAUUCACCCAUUCACACACUGGCAAGCUACAUUGUAGCCACAGCUGCCCUGGGGCGCACUGACAGAGGCGAGGCUGCCGGACACUGGCGCCACCGGGCCCUCUGACCACCACCAGUAGGCAAACACGGGGUUAGUAUCUUGCCCAAGGAUAUUUGGCAUGCAGCCAGGAGGCAGCCUGGGAUCGAACCACCGACCUUCUGAUUAGUGGCUGACCUGCUCUGCCACCUGAGCUACAGCCAUCCCACAUGUUGGGAAAGCAUCACUUUUAAAUUGGGUGCUAAUUGUACAUCUAAUCAAAGGCUCACUAUAGUGUUACUAUACAUGACUAUGCUGGCUAACAAUCCACAAUUAAGUACAAAUGCAGUGUAACUAAACUUAAUGAAGACGUAACAUAAUAAAUAGCCGUAUGCUUAUCUGUAGUUGCUAUGAUUAUUUUGGACUAGUUGGGCCCAAAUAGUUUAAAUUACUUUCAAUUUACAAACAAAAUAAAUCAAAUACAUGUUAAAAUUAGCUACAUAGUGCUAAUAGUAUAGGUUUGAGACAUCUGAUUCCAUGCAUAAAAAGUAUGGGAAAU
Long non-coding RNA from Astatotilapia calliptera (eastern happy), 3150 nucleotides. Lineage: Eukaryota; Metazoa; Chordata; Actinopteri; Cichliformes; Cichlidae. The record is from Ensembl.